RNAcentral lists this ribosomal RNA (245 nucleotides) under uncultured bacterium. RNAcentral describes it as "partial small subunit ribosomal RNA". It matches the Rfam family "Bacterial small subunit ribosomal RNA", at positions 26 to 285 of the family's 1533-position model. The record is from RNAcentral.
AGAAUCAACGCUGGCGGCGUGCCUAACACAUGCAAGUCGCACGAGAAAGUGGAGCAAUCCACGAGUAAAGUGGCGCACGGGUGAGUAACACGUGAAUAAUCUACCUCCGAGUGGGGAAUAACUGAGAGAAAUCUUAGCUAAUACCGCAUAAUACCCACGGGUCAAAGCGGCAAUGCGCUUGGAGAGGAGUUCGCGGCCGAUUAGCUAGUUGGCGGGGUAAUGGCCCACCAAGGCGAUGAUCGGUA